AGUAUGGAAAUAUUUUCCACUAAGAAGUGUGAUCCUGCCUGGUAAGACUCCCUUCAUCCAAAUCCUUUCUGGAUUGCAAGGCCAUCAGAGGCUCAUGGCUGGGAAGAGCUGAUUUAGGCUUGUUUGGGGGCACCAUGUCUGCUUGAGCCUAAAGGAGAACAGGUGGGAGAGCUCCUCAGAGAUUUCUUCUGCUCUGUAUAAGCCACUGGAACAAAAGAAAUGACAACGGCGAGUUCACCAUGUGUGCAAAUUCCUUUAUCUUCUGGGAAAAUGUGGAGUUUACAUCAUAAACCAGAGGCCUGUAGUAAGUUCUGAGGCCACUUCUGUCACCCCUACAGAAGGAUCCUCUGUCAGCCAUCCGGUGUGUUUCCUUGCCAAACUGCCAGUAUGAGGAAAAGUAGGAUUUUGUGUGAUGCUGUGUGUGAUGUCAGGUAGCUGUGGGCAAAGAGUGAUUUUCAGCAGACAUUUUCUAAGGAAAGAAACAUCCAAGAUGUUGUCUAGCAGAGAAUGAUGGCUAAAGGCAAAGGAAAAGGAUACCCCAAGAUGGAAAAACUGAUACUUCAAUGUGCAAUGGUAACAUACCCCAUGUGAGCGAGAAGUUCAAGGUCCCCCUUAUUUAAAGUGUUUAGGACAUGGAGUGAUGCAGGGGUGGAGCACAGAAGGAGACAAAAAUCUCUGCAUGCUCACUGAGACUUGAAGACAGCUCUUGAAGAAGCCUCUUGCAGAAAGAGAUUUUAAGGAAAAAAGUGGAGAAGCAACUGUGGUGGUGUAGAUUUGGAUUCAGGCAAAGCUCAAUGUGGGCACUGAAUAAGGACAAUUCCUUUGGCAGGUGACAUGGAGUGGUGUGACUGUCCUGUCACCAUGCUGACCUGAAAUCUCACAUGAUCUGGCUGAUGUGAUCAAAUGAAUGUUUCUUUCCACUUGACUGCAGCUUCUCUGAAAGUAACAAGCCCCAGUCUCUGGGGUGAAAGUAGAAUUUUGCUCCUCAUUAUUACAGAUUAUUAUAUUUCCUGUGCCAGUCACUGGAAACCUGCCUGAAAAGACAUAGAUCCCCGUGGAGCAGCAGCCAGAACCUGGAUCCCAAAGCAUCCCUGAAAGGGCUGCACGAUGGUAAGUGCUGGGUCAUUCUGAAGCACUUCCAAGCCAUGACUGUUAUUUUUCUCUGCUAAAAACCAUUAAAAAACUCUGAGGAGUAACACAAAUAACAGGGAUGAAAGCCUGAUCUUUGUCAGCAAUCCAGACACUGACUGCAUUGUAGUUUCAGCAGCAGGCAUGUGGCUGACUUAAAAUCAAGGAGGCAAAAUAUUAUAGGAGCACUCAAUGCAGCCAUGGAAAACUAGGAUUUAACCCUUUUUCAGCCUAACCAGUUGCAGCUUGGAGUGAACAGUGGCCAUGUAUUUUGUAAAGGAGGAGCUGUUUUUGUUUUUGUUUAAAAAGAGCAUUCAGAUCAGCUGAGUUUGAGCCAAUGCUGAAAACAGAGCUGCCAAAUUUAUCAUUGACCAGAAGAUUUGUAUGGGGCUAAAGGAGGUUGGUACAGAGAGAUUAGAAGCAGAUUAUCAGCAUGCUUUUAGCUUUAUCUGUUUCUAGAAGCAAAUAAUUAGCCUCAGAAACAACUUCAUCUUAAAAUAAGUUCUAAAAUAUAAAUUAUUGGUGUGAAAAGACUGAUACAAGUUUCAGGAACUGUUCUUUUUGCCAGAAGGAAUUAAUUCCCCAAGGACUUAGUUUCAAUCAACGUGGUUCCCGUAACUCUGCCACGAAAAACCAAUUUCAGGAAACUCAUUUAGUUCCUUAUUUCAAAUCCUCCCUGCAGCCUGCCUGUAGAAGAGGGGAAAAAAAGAAACAGUUCUGAUGACAGAAAUGGGGUCAUGCAGCUUCUGGAGCUUUGUUACUAAAUGGAGAAAAUUGCCAUUUCUUUUUCCUUUUUUUUUUUUUUUUUCUUUUUUUUAAUUUUCUGUUUUUUGGGAGUUGGGGCAGAAGGAGGGAGAUAAAGUGGUUUGAUUGACCUUGUUUGCUGAAUUGAGUGACAGGAGCAGCCCCCAGCAGGAACACUGGGCUUAUCUCAUCCAGAAGAGAUUGUCACCCAGGGAAAUGAGCAUAAUCAAGUCGAGAAAUGGCAUUAAUUUGUGCUUGUGCCAUGUGUGGUCCUGAUAACUUUGGAAAUGAAGGAACUGCCCAUGGUUUGUCAGCAAUACCCAAGUUCCCUUAUGUUCUCCAUGGCAGCCUGGGUGUCUGAUGUCACCUCUUACAGCUUAAAAAGCCAUGUGGAAAGCAUUAUAGGAUUUUUGGCAACAAUGGGGAAAAAGUGGUUGGUUGAAAAUGGUUAUGUUUAUAUGUUUUUCAAAGCAAUGAAGAUUCAAGUAGUUUCCUUGUGCUCUGUUCCCUUAUGUUGCUUUGAAAGCUCCCAUUAAAGAAAUAAUGCACCUUUCAGGAGAGCAGACAUGAGUCCUUUUACAUAUUUGAGAACUUAGAAAAAAUUAUUGGAAAAAAAUUAGCUUAAAAUAAAAUAUUGUCUCAUAUCUCAACAUAGGCAAAGUGAUAAAGGCAAAUGAGAAAUGAAACCUCUUUGUACACUGACUAGAUAUUAGAGAGGAUUUUAUAAGACAAAACUUUAUGCAUAACCCUCACUAUGAUGAUUAAGAAAUCAGACCUUUCCAGCUAACAUGAUGGGCUUUUUAGCAAACUUGAAAACUGCUGAUUUUGUCCAGCCUCCUUCUUUCCUGGGGAAACAUCUCCCAUGUUGUGCCUCCAGCACUGUUAAAUUCUCUUCUGCCUCCCCAUUCUGGCUAUUCCCACCUGGUGGAAUCCACAUUUCCAGGGGAACACAAAUCCUCAGGAGCAGGAUCAGAAGGUAAGGCUGAGGUCUGCAGUGUGUCUGUGCCAGCAGAGCAUCCCUGACCUUCCCCUUUGUAAGGAAGAGCUGGCAAAAACGUGGACCUUGCUGCAGGGUUAGUACUGGCACAUUGCAUGGAAACAUUUGUGCCACUGGAGAUUCACCACCAACCAAGGUUUUUCAUUUCCCAUAUGACAGUGUCCCCUGUCCCCUCUGACAGCUGAGUCACUCUUGGUGACUUAGGACUUAGCGAAUUUUUCCUAGGUGGUUUUAAGUCCAGGAAUCCAAUUGUUACCAGGAAAUCCAGGACAAUGCAGGAAAAGCAGAUUCUCAAUAAAAUGCAAGUUCACCCCCAACUCCCUCCAAGUCACUUGCUGAAUAAGAAGCUGCAUUUUUUUCACAAGGACAUCCUGAUUGCUCUACUGACACUGCUUCAGGGAAGGUGACAGUGCCAUGCCUGGUGGGAGAUGAGGGAGGAACAAAAGCAUCCUCCAGCAGCCUGCUGGAGGCUCCCAGUUCAGGGAGACCAGGGACAGACCACUGGCCUGUCCAGGCAGUGGCUUUGGUCAGGGUGUGAUGCCUGCUUGGAUGGCAUGAGCUGCCUC
Serinus canaria (Common canary) is the source of this 3435-nucleotide long non-coding RNA. RefSeq lists it as uncharacterized. The record is from RefSeq and is a predicted model, not a curated record. NCBI's taxonomy places the organism in Eukaryota, Metazoa, Chordata, Aves, Passeriformes, Fringillidae. The transcript has 3 exons.